RNAcentral lists this ribosomal RNA (193 nucleotides) under uncultured Verrucomicrobiales bacterium. Its description in RNAcentral is "partial 16S ribosomal RNA". It matches the Rfam family "Bacterial small subunit ribosomal RNA", at positions 338 to 524 of the family's 1533-position model. Lineage: Bacteria; Pseudomonadati; Verrucomicrobiota; Verrucomicrobiia; Verrucomicrobiales. The record is from RNAcentral.
CCUACGGGAGGCAGCAGUCGAGGAUUUUUCUCAAUGGGGGAAACCCUGAAGGAGCGACGCCGCGUGAGGGAUGAAGGUCUUCGGAUUGUAAACCUCUGUCAUCUGGGAUCAAAGUGCUCCACCUAACACGUGGAGUAUUGCUAGUACCAGAAGAGGAAGCAGUGGCUAACUCUGUGCCAGCAGCCGCGGUAAU